This 433-nucleotide ribosomal RNA is filed under the name uncultured bacterium. RNAcentral's name for it is "partial 16S ribosomal RNA". It matches the Rfam family "Bacterial small subunit ribosomal RNA", at positions 29 to 507 of the family's 1533-position model. The record is from RNAcentral.
AACGAACGCUGGCGGCAUGCCUAACACAUGCAAGUCGAACGAGACCUUCGGGUCCAGUGGCGCACGGGUGCGUAACGCGUGGGAACCUGCCCUUAGGUUCGGAAUAACUCCCCGAAAGGGGUGCUAAUACCGGAUAAUGUCUUCGGACCAAAGAUUUAUCGCCUUUGGAUGGGCCCGCGUUGGAUUAGCUAGUUGGUAGGGUAAAAGCCUACCAAGGCGACGAUCCAUAGCUGGUCUGAGAGGAUGAUCAGCCACACUGGGACUGAGACACGGCUCAGACUCCUACGGGAGGCAGCAGUGGGGAAUAUUGGACAAUGGGCGAAAGCCUGAUCCAGCAAUGCCGCGUGAGUGAUGAAGGCCUUAGGGUUGUAAAGCUCUUUUACCCGGGAUGAUAAUGACAGUACCGGGAGAAUAAGCUCCGGCUAACUCCGUG